CUCUCACAUAGUAACUGAGUCACUCUGUCCCCUUUUUUCACUAUAAAAGGUUCUUUACCAAAGUUAAAUAAUACAACCCCAACAUUUCCUCUGUAGUCCUCAUCCACCACACCAGCUCCAACAUCAAUGAAAUACUUAGCAGCCAAACCUGAUCGGAAACUACUCUUCCAUAACAACCAGUGGUAACACAUAUUUGGAUAUCAGUUUUCACCACAGCUUUGUCCAUGGCAGGUAUUAAAUAAUCAUAUGCACUGUACAGGUAAUAGCAGACUGCUCUGGCUGAGCCCCUUGUG
Molecule: long non-coding RNA, 293 nt
Filed under: Pelobates cultripes (western spadefoot toad)
Lineage: Eukaryota; Metazoa; Chordata; Amphibia; Anura; Pelobatidae
Source: RNAcentral